AGCAGCCGCGGUAAUUCCAGCUCCAAUAGCGUAUAUUAAAGUUGUUGUGGUUAAAAAGCUCGUAGUUGAACCUUGGGCCUGGCUGGCCGGUCCGCCUCACCGCGUGUACUGGUCCGGCCGGGCCUUUCCCUCUGUGGAACCCCAUGCCCUUCACUGGGUGUGGCGGGGAAACAGGACUUUUACUGUGAAAAAUUAGAGUGCUCCAGGCAGGCCUAUGCUCGAAUACAUUAGCAUGGAAUAAUAGAAUAGGACGUGUGGUUCUAUUUUGUUGGUUUCUAGGACCGCCGUAAUGAUUAAUAGGGACAGUCGGGGGCAUCAGUAUUCAAUUGUCAGAGGUGAAAUUCUUGGAUUUAUUGAAGACUAACUACUGCGAAAGCAUUUGCCAAGGAUGUUUUCAUUAAUCAGGAACGAAAGUUAGGGGAUCGAAGACGAUCAGAUACCGUCGUAGUCUUAACCAUAAACUAUGC
Molecule: small RNA, 467 nt
Filed under: uncultured Paraglomus
Lineage: Eukaryota; Fungi; Glomeromycota; Glomeromycetes; Paraglomerales; Paraglomeraceae
Description: SSU rRNA
Rfam family: Eukaryotic small subunit ribosomal RNA
Source: RNAcentral